This 285-nucleotide ribosomal RNA is filed under the name Triticum aestivum (bread wheat). RNAcentral's name for it is "partial small subunit ribosomal RNA". Lineage: Eukaryota; Viridiplantae; Streptophyta; Magnoliopsida; Poales; Poaceae. The record is from RNAcentral.
GGCAUCAGGGUUCCCAUGACCAUGCUCGCCACGUUUGAGCUCCUCAAGCACACCCCUAAGCUUGUUGAGAAUGGCAAGAAGACGCUUAUUCUCCAUGGUACAAAGAUUAGCGCAGUUUCGAACUCCAUGCUGUCAGAUCUUUUUCACCUGAAGCAUGAUCAUUCCGUGAAGUACGCUAAGAAUAACGACAACAUCAGACCAUUUGAGAGUGGGGGUUAAACUUCCCUGGUGUUCUUCUCCCUUAAAUCUUACUACAGCCUUUUAUUCACAUUUGCUAUUCUGUAG